CCGUGACGCCGCCUCCGCCUCUCAGCAUCGCCGUCGCCGGUUGCCGCCGGCUGCGGGCCGCCGCCCGUCCCGCGCUCGUCGGCCUCGCCGCCUCGCCGGAUCCGCCGUUCCACGGGCCGCCCGUAGGCCGUAGUGCCGCGCUGCCGCGCCGGCGAGCGGCGGCCAGGCCGCCAGGCAGGCAGGGGCAGGCGCAAGUGGCAAGCCGGAGGCCGGUGGCCGGCACAGCCAGCACCGCUGCAGUCUGCAUGGGCACCGCCGCACGGGCCACGGGGUGCCGCCGCACGGGGCGCCGCGGGCCGCCCCUUUCCCCUCCCCCUGCACUGCUGCACGGGGGUUUGCAGGACUGGAGCCCGAGCAGGCCUGAGCCCGAGAUAGUGAACCAAGGUUUGAACUAUGAAAAGGAAGAGGGGUGGCAGUGCCGCUACUGAUUUGAAAUUUUUCUUGCAAAGAGCUGCUGCGAAGAAGAAACCUCCUGAGCCAGAGGAUGGGGCAGACAUUUUUGAAUAAUUGUUUGAUCACAUUCAUUGAAAGGGAAUUCUUCUUGCAAGCAAGAGAUGAGGACAUCAUCAAAUAUUUUCAAGACAUGAAGGAUCAUAAAGUAAUCUUGUAAUUUAGCUGCUGCGAAGAAGAAACCUCCUGAACCAGAGGAUGGGGCAGACAUUUUUGAAUAAUUGUUUGAUCACAUUCAUUGAAAGGAUAUUCUUCUUGCAAGCGAAAGAUAAGGACAUCAUCAAAUAUUUUCAAGACAUGAAGGAUCAUAAAGUAAUCUUGUAAUUUGUAAGCAUCCUGCACCUGCAUCCUUGUCACCCAUUUGUUGUUUUAGAAUUUUACCCUCUAUUCCACUUUGAUAUGAUGAUCAUUUAGUAUGUAU
Long non-coding RNA from Panicum virgatum (switchgrass), 871 nucleotides. RefSeq lists it as uncharacterized. The transcript is spliced from 3 exons. Lineage: Eukaryota; Viridiplantae; Streptophyta; Magnoliopsida; Poales; Poaceae. The record is from RefSeq and is a predicted model, not a curated record.